CAGCACCUCAAGUGGUCAGGAUGAUUAUUGGGCCUAAAGCAUCCGUAGCCGGCUCUGUAAGUUUUCGGUUAAAUCUGUACGCUCAACGUACAGGCUGCCGGGAAUACUGCAGCGCUAGGGAGUGGGAGAGGUAGACGGUACUCGGUAGGAAGGGGUAAAAUCCUUUGAUCUAUUGAUGACCACCGGUGGCGAAGGCGGUCUACCAGAACACGUCCGACGGUGAGGGAUGAAAGCUGGGGGAGCAAACCGGAUUAGAUACCCGAGUAGUCC
Molecule: ribosomal RNA, 270 nt
Filed under: uncultured archaeon
Lineage: Archaea
Description: partial 16S ribosomal RNA
Rfam family: Archaeal small subunit ribosomal RNA
Source: RNAcentral